Molecule: ribosomal RNA, 464 nt
Filed under: Klebsiella pneumoniae
Lineage: Bacteria; Pseudomonadati; Pseudomonadota; Gammaproteobacteria; Enterobacterales; Enterobacteriaceae
Description: bacterial SSU rRNA
Rfam family: Bacterial small subunit ribosomal RNA
Source: RNAcentral
UGUGGCCAGAUGGGAUUAGCUAGUAGGUGGGGUAACGGCUCACCUAGGCGACGAUCCCUAGCUGGUCUGAGAGGAUGACCAGCCACACUGGAACUGAGACACGGUCCAGACUCCUACGGGAGGCAGCAGUGGGGAAUAUUGCACAAUGGGCGCAAGCCUGAUGCAGCCAUGCCGCGUGUGUGAAGAAGGCCUUCGGGUUGUAAAGCACUUUCAGCGGGGAGGAAGGCGUUAAGGUUAAUAACCUCAUCGAUUGACGUUACCCGCAGAAGAAGCACCGGCUAACUCCGUGCCAGCAGCCGCGGUAAUACGGAGGGUGCAAGCGUUAAUCGGAAUUACUGGGCGUAAAGCGCACGCAGGCGGUCUGUCAAGUCGGAUGUGAAAUCCCCGGGCUCAACCUGGGAACUGCAUUCGAAACUGGCAGGCUAGAGUCUUGUAGAGGGGGGUAGAAUUCCAGGUGUAGCGGU